GGUGCUCGAGUGGCGAACGGGUGAGUAACAUGUGAGUAACCUGCCCUUGACUUUGGGAUAACUUCAGGAAACUGGGGCUAAUACCGGAUAGGAGCUCCUGCUGCAUGGUGGGGGUUGGAAAGUUUCGGCGGUUGGGGAUGGACUCGCGGCUUAUCAGCUUGUUGGUGGGGUAGUGGCUUACCAAGGCUUUGACGGGUAGCCGGCCUGAGAGGGUGACCGGCCACAUUGGGACUGAGGUACGGCCCAG
RNAcentral lists this ribosomal RNA (247 nucleotides) under uncultured Actinomycetales bacterium. RNAcentral describes it as "partial 16S ribosomal RNA". It matches the Rfam family "Bacterial small subunit ribosomal RNA", at positions 86 to 334 of the family's 1533-position model. Lineage: Bacteria; Bacillati; Actinomycetota; Actinomycetes; Actinomycetales. The record is from RNAcentral.